GACGAAGGAUGCAAGCGUUAUCCGGAUUCAUUGGGUUUAAAGGGAGCGUAGGUGGCCUUAUAAGUCAGCGGUGAAAUCUCUGGGCUUAACCCAGAAAUUGCCAUUGAUACUGUAGGGCUUGAGUACAGUUGCUGUGGGCGGAAUAUGACAUGUAGUGGUGAAAUACGUAGAUAUCGGAAGGAACAUCAGUGGCGAAAGCGACUUCCUGGACCAGUACCGACGUUCAGGCACGAAAGCGUGGGGAGCAAACAGG
RNAcentral lists this ribosomal RNA (253 nucleotides) under uncultured bacterium. RNAcentral describes it as "partial 16S ribosomal RNA". It matches the Rfam family "Bacterial small subunit ribosomal RNA", at positions 524 to 776 of the family's 1533-position model. The record is from RNAcentral.